Balaenoptera ricei (Rice's whale) is the source of this 2671-nucleotide long non-coding RNA. RefSeq lists it as uncharacterized. NCBI's taxonomy places the organism in Eukaryota, Metazoa, Chordata, Mammalia, Artiodactyla, Balaenopteridae. The transcript is spliced from 3 exons. The record is from RefSeq and is a predicted model, not a curated record.
GAAAGGGGUCAAAAGCAUAGGCUGGAGGCAUCCAGGAUGAACACAACCCCGCCUUCCCUCCUCUUUGGGAAAACACCAUAGAUCUGGUGGCGGGAGAUACUUGUAGGAAGAGUGAAGGGACUUCAGAGAGAGCCAUUUGGGGUCCUUUGGAGAGAAGUAGCCUUUGGGCUGCCAAGCCUCUUGGAGUUGGACUAUUUUCCAGGUAGGAAGACCCUUGCCCUUGGAAGAAGCAAGAGAGGCCAGGACAGAAUCUUAAGGAAAAGAAUCUGAGUGAUUAGGACUGAUGUCCGUCUGAUGUCUCUGAAGGGAGAAACUGAAAGAGAACCUUGGGAUUUCCUCCUGUGCUUUCUAGUCCAGGGCUGGAGAGAAAGCAGGAAUCAGGGACAGAAGCCCCAUUCAGGAAAAGCAUGUACAAGUGGUGACCCUUCAUGGAGCAGGAUAAACGGGGCCCUCGGCUGGACAUCCCAGAGUGGGGAGGAGCAAGGAUCUCUGCCACUGCACAGAAUUACUGAGCAAUUGUGCUGAUUUAGUACUUCUCAGGAGGAGCUGUCAUCAUGAUGUGCCCAGCACAUCAACCAAGAAGGAACAUUUCCAUCAGUAAGACUGGCUUGUUUCCAUGGCAAUGGUACAUUUCCCUUUUCUCAGCAGUCUGGCCUCAGCCAUCAGUGCACUGAGCCAUUCAAACGUCCCCAUCUGUAGAGUGCUGGUUCCUGAGGCUGGAAGUCUUCAGGAACACAACUUAUAAACUUCAGCCCCUGGCAGUGCAUUCGAUCUGAGCUAACCUGCCCAGAAUUCAAUCCAGAAGUCAGAAUUACCCGGGGGUGCUCAGCAGAAGAUCAAAAGAUGCUGCUUCUCCCUCUGCAAGUCCAAUCAUCUUGUUUUGGAAAAAAGUAAUUCAUAUGCAUUUAAGCUCUUAUUGAGGGGCAGGCACUGUUUAGUGUUCCUCAAAGGAACCUGUUUGGACCAAUCCAACAGCUGACUUACCUUAGGCAUUUUAUAAAGAGAUAGUACCCUUUGGAUGCCUGGGAGUGGGGUGUGGGCCAAGCCCAGGGGUAGGAGAGAGGUCUGCUGACAGGGCUGAGAAGGGCAGGUGUUCUGUCACAGCAGAACAAGGUGAUUCCUUCUGGGCAGCCACAAGGGUCAUGGCUCAAAGGGCAGAGUUGCAAAGCCCGUGGAUGAGAAGUUGGGCCAAACUGGUAGAGAUGGAGAGCAGAGAGAAAGACCAAGGGCAAAACAGCAGGUCCUAUGCAGUCUCCAAAGGCCACAUUCAAAGGCUCAGAAAUUAUUCUUAUUGAUAUCCAAGCAUGAGUUCCAAGGGGUGGAUUGGAUGAGGGUAGACAAUUGGCUCAGAUGAGCCAGAAGUGCCUUCCUGAUAUAACGCAUUUACUAAGAAGAUCCUUUUCCCUGUGAAAGGUACUCUCCGGGAAAGGAAGCAUCCUAGCACAUUAUCCCUGAGGCAGCUAUACCUCUACAUAGAAGGCCUAAUGUCAGUAAGUAGAGUCAAGGUCAUCCUAACCCACAUCACCAAUGAGCCUUGGACUCCCCAAGACAUUGACUAUAAAGCAUUGACUGUACCUUAGGAUGACUUGGGAAGGGGGUGGCUUUUGCAAAAAAUUAGGGCCAGGGGCAUCCCCUAACCAAGUGAAACGGGGUGUCAAGGGGUACUUUUUAAAAUCUUCUAGGUGAUUCUAAUGUACAACCAUAGCUGAGAACCACUGACCUAAUACAAACCUGACUUGAAAGAUAAGGAAAGGAGAUAGCAGGUCAACUUCAUCAGACUCCCAUGAAGCCCACCAGCACCAGUGCCACCACCACAGUUUAUGCCAGGCACGUGCCUGAAACCUUCUGACUCAACCAACAUCCAGCCUGCCUGCUUCUCAACAGGAAAAAAAAAUGCAUCUAUAAAACCAAAUCAACUCUGACACCCACAAUUAAUCCACCCUUCAGCAUACCCCUCCUGAGAAUGGGUCUAAACUAACUUGAACCACAUCAUCUUCUCUUUAAUUUUUUAAAUGCCCUUGGGGAGUAUAACACCUCCCUACCCCACCCCUAAAUACAAAUCAAAAUCAGAAAGGAUCAAGUCCCUUGUCAUAGAGAGAAUUUUCUCCCUCCCGCCCUUAUCUUUGGAGUCUUCAUUAUGCCUGUUAAACUUUAUUUCUCUGGAUGACCAGUUCAUCUGCCUUACCCCUUCUCUCUGUUUGACGGAUUCCUACUUCUCCUCUAACAAAAACAAAAAUAAUAGCCAGGAUCAUGAUGACAGAUCACAUUUUUAUGGGUGAUUUGCUCUGUGCACAACUUGCAUUAAGCAUUUUGUUUGCAGACACAUCUCAUUUAAAGCUCACAACACCACUAUGAUGCUGUUAUGUCAUUUACAAAAGUGGGAAUGGCCAAAGUCACAAAGCUAGGAGGUGAGGAAGCAAGCUUACAGACCCAUGCAGCCCCAUCCCAGCUGGGCUCCUCACCCUGCUGCUAAAUGCCUCUCUGAAAAUUCAGCCCAGAUGUCACUGUCUUCAUUUUUUUUAAUAAUUGUAAUCAUUGCUAAAGCCAUACCAGGCACUAGAAAAUUUAUUACACUGGUAUCAAAAAUAUGUGUACAUUUGAAAUUUUUCAUAACAGAAAGCUUUUUAAAGUAUUAUGUAAAUAAUAAUAUUUUUAGAAAUUUAAAAUCUAG